RNAcentral lists this ribosomal RNA (464 nucleotides) under uncultured bacterium. RNAcentral describes it as "partial 16S ribosomal RNA". It matches the Rfam family "Bacterial small subunit ribosomal RNA", at positions 29 to 504 of the family's 1533-position model. The record is from RNAcentral.
ACGAACGCUGGCGGCGUGCUUAACACAUGCCAGUCGAACGGAAAGGCCCUGCUUUUGUGGGGUGCUCGAGUGGCGAACGGGUGAGUAACACGUGAGUAACCUGCCCUUGACUUUGGGAUAACUUCAGGAAACUGGGGCUAAUACCGGGUAGGAGCUCCUGCUGCAUGGUGGGGGUUGGAAAGUUUCGGCGGUUGGGGAUGGACUCGCGGCUUAUCAGCUUGUUGGUGGGGUAGUGGCUUACCAAGGCUUUGACGGGUAGCCGGCCUGAGAGGGUGACCGGCCACAUUGGGACUGAGAUACGGCCCAGACUCCUACGGGAGGCAGCAGUGGGGAAUAUUGCACAAUGGGCGGAAGCCUGAUGCAGCAACGCCGCGUGCGGGAUGACGGCCUUCGGGUUGUAAACCGCUUUCGCCUGUGACGAAGCGUGAGUGACGGUAAUGGGUAAAGAAGCACCGGCUAACUAC